Papaver somniferum (opium poppy) is the source of this 1704-nucleotide long non-coding RNA. RefSeq lists it as uncharacterized. The transcript has 3 exons. NCBI's taxonomy places the organism in Eukaryota, Viridiplantae, Streptophyta, Magnoliopsida, Ranunculales, Papaveraceae. The record is from RefSeq and is a predicted model, not a curated record.
GUAAACUAAAUCGAAAUCCUCUACCACCAUCUCCAUCUCUACCACCACCAUUUUUGUCGCCACCAUAACUAUCAGCACUAUCUCCAAUCAACAAUAAACGUAAUCUGAAAAUAUAUAUUAGGUUUAGCUUGACCUUUACAUCAUAAUGAAAGAUCUCCGUUUGAUUCUGGGAGAGAGACCUUCGUCAAAAAUGAUAUCCAGAUUUAGAAGUCAAGCUUCAUAAGUAUCAGGUUCAUCAUCUUAUUCUCCUUCUUUUCUACUAGUUUUUAUAGUGAUUUCAAUUUUAAUGGAAGAUUCAAGAGAUCGAGAGAAAGAGAAAUAUUAGGUUUCAAAUUUUCUGGUAAUUAUCGAGGGUGAAUUUGUUGCAUUUUUUAUUCAGCUUGAAUUUUCUGAUAUUCACAGAGAUCGAGAGAUUUGAUUAUAUGAAAUGUUAGAGAUUCGAAGUUGAAGAUUUCAGAUAACUUUCCAGUUGAUGGUGUAUGUUAUUGAUGCUAACAACAUUUUCGUUCUGUUUUGCUUUUCUAUCCUUACUGUAUUCAUAUUGCGGCUAUGCUAUUCUUCAUUUAUUUAAAAGGUGAUCUUGGAUAAAUAGCAAUGAGUGGUAAUGAAUGUGGGAGUAUUAUAGUUGGUGGGUAGUGGUGGAUGGUAGCAGAGAACGUGUGGUGGAGUUUGGGGAUGAUGGCUGUGAGGCCUCUCAAGUUAUUGGUUAUGUUACGUGGUUAGCUCAAACUUCAGUGAUUCUAAUUGAAGUGUACACUAACAAAGCAAAUAAUUGACCAGGAUAUGCUGAUUAUCUUCAUUUCAUUUAUUAGAGCUAAUAUUGUUCCAAAUUCAUUUUACAGGUAUGCAAUAGCUACUCAUUUUCGUUUUCCGGGUUGCUUUUGUUGGUGCUCCUGUUUUUGAUCAUUGGAACUACAGAGUUUCCCUCCAAGCCGAAUAUGUGGUGCAAUGGUAACACACCUGACUCCGUGUCAGAAGAUGCAUGUUCGAUUCACGUCAGGUUCACUAAUUUUAGUACGUCAAUUUUUGGGAUCAACUUUGGUUGUUGACGCCAUGUUUGGGAUCAAUUUUGGUUGUUGACGCUAUAUAUAAUCUGAACAUUUUAUGAUUUUUAAGUUUGGGAUCAACUUUGGUUGUUGAUACCAGAUUUUGGGAACUUUGGUUGUUGACACCAUAUGUAAUGUGAACAUUUUCUGAAAUUUUAAUUUUUGGGGUCAAAUCUGAACAUUUUCUUAAAUUUUAAUUUUUGGGGUUAACUUGGGGUGUUAACACCAUAUUUUUUCUCUUUCUUAUUUUUGUUUUGGGAUCAACUUUGAUUGUGUCUGAUUUUUGUUUAUGGGGAUCAACAACAGAUUGUUGACACCAUAUUUUUUUCUUCAAAUUUUUUGAUUUUUGUAUUUUGGAUCAACUUCGGUUGUUGAUACCUUGGUUGGUGAUACCAAGGUAGGUGGUGGUGGUGGCGGACUAGCGACGCCGGUGCCGGCAGUGAUGGUGCUUCUAGUGGUGGUGGUGGACUGGUGACGGCGGUUGUGGACUGGUGGCGGCGGUUGUGGACUGGUGGUAGACUGGUGGUGGAAUGAGAUUUUUUUUAAAAAAAUGUACAAAUAUGUUUGUGUGAUAAAAUAGGAAAAAAAAUUAUAUCUUAUGGAGCACUAAUGUAAUCCAUCUUUAAGUAGAUAAGGUGAUGGGUUUAUUUAUUAUGUG